UGCCAGCCGCCGCGGUAAUACGGAGGGAGCUAGCGUUAAUCGGAAUUACUGGGCGUAAAGCGCACGUAGGCGGUGUGGUAUGUUGGAUGUGAAAGCCCCGAGCUCAACUUGGGAAUUGCAUUCAAAACUGCCACACUUGAGUAGAGUAGAGGGUAGUAGAAUUUCCGGUGUAGCGGUGAAAUGCGUAGAUAUCGGAAGGAACACCGGUGGCGAAGGCGGCUGCCUGGCCUGAUACUGACACUGAGGCACGAAAGCGUGGGUAGCAAACAGGAUUAGAUA
RNAcentral lists this ribosomal RNA (279 nucleotides) under uncultured bacterium. RNAcentral describes it as "partial 16S ribosomal RNA". It matches the Rfam family "Bacterial small subunit ribosomal RNA", at positions 506 to 784 of the family's 1533-position model. The record is from RNAcentral.